AUAGUGGUUUUGGCGGGUUUAUACUGGGUUCUUCCUGGUUUAUACUGGUUUAUACUGGGUUCUUACUGGUUUUGCCUGGUUUAUACUGGUUUAUACUGGGUUCUUACUGGUUUAUACUGGUUUCAGCUGGUUCAUACUGGUUUAUACUGGUUUUGGCUGGUUUAUACUGGUUUAUACUGGGUUCUUACUGGUUUUGGCUGGUUUAUACUGGUUUCGGCUGGUUCAUACUGGUUUAUACUGGUUUUGGCUGGGUUAUACUGGUUUAUACUGGGUUCUUACUGGUUUUGGCUGGUUUAUAUUGGGUUCUUACUGGUUUAUACUGGUUUAUACUGGGUUCUUACUGGUUUUCCCCCAUCUGUCUCCAUGCCGAGUACUGUGAGCUGGGUUAUACUGGUCCAUACUGGGUUAUACUGGUUUUAUACCGGUUCUAACUGGUUCCAUACUGGUUCUAACUGUUUCUCACUGGUUUUUCCUGGUUUUUCCUGGUUUUUCCCCGUUCCCAGACAUCCGUCUCCGCGUGCGUGCCGAGUACUGCGAGCACGACCGCGCUGGGUUAUACUGGGUUAUACUGGGUUAUGCUGGGUUAUACUGGGCUGUACUGGUCCAUACUGGUUCCAUACUGGUUCUAACUGGUUUUACACUGGUUCUAACUGGUUUUUCCCCGUUCCCAGACAUCCGUCUCCGCGUGCGUGCCGAGUACUGCGAGCACGACCGCGCUGGGUUAUACUGGGUUAUACUGGGUUAUACUGGGUUGUACUGGUCCAUACUGGUUUUACACUGGUUCUAACUGGUUUUACACUGUUUCUCACUGGUUUUUACUGGUUUCCUGUGUUUCCCAGACAUCCGUCUCCGCGUGCGUGCCGAGUACUGCGAGCACGACCGCGCUCUCCGCCGCGCCGUGGCCUCCAGCCGGCCGCGGGGCCCCGGCCGGGCGCUGGACGUGUUCGGCCAGGCCAGCGGCGUGCUCAAGGCCCGCGAUUUGGGCUCCAUCCUGUGCGAC
RNAcentral lists this long non-coding RNA (1000 nucleotides) under Chloebia gouldiae (Gouldian finch). RNAcentral's name for it is "Erythrura gouldiae (Gouldian finch) lncRNA (ENSEGOG00005010647.1)". Lineage: Eukaryota; Metazoa; Chordata; Aves; Passeriformes; Passeridae. The record is from RNAcentral.